UGGGGAAUCUUGCACAAUGGGCGAAAGCCUGAUGCAGCAACGCCGCGUGCGGGAAGACAGCCCUAGGGUUGUAAACCGCUUUCAGCAGGGAAGAAACUGACGGUACCUGCAGAAGAAGAUGCGGCCAACUACGUGCCAGCAGCCGCGGUGACACGUAGGCAUCAAGCGUUAUCCGGAUUUAUUGGGCGUAAAGAGCUCGUAGGCGGUUCGGUAAGUCGGGUGUGAAAACUCUGGGCUCAACCCAGAGAGGCCACUCGAUACUGCUGUGACUAGAGUGCGGUAGGGGAGCGGGGAAUUCCUGGUGUAGCGGUGAAAUGCGCAGAUAUCAGGAGGAACACCAGUGGCGAAGGCGCCGCUCUGGGCCUGUAACUGACGCUGAGGAGCGAAAGCAUGGGUAGCAAACAGGAUUAGAUACCCUGGUAGUCCAUGCCGUAAACGUUGGGCACUAGGUGUGGGUCUCAACCAACGAGAUCCGCGCCGUCGCUAACGCAUUAAGUGCCCGCCUGGGAGUACGGUCGCAAGAUUAAAACU
RNAcentral lists this ribosomal RNA (531 nucleotides) under uncultured bacterium. RNAcentral's name for it is "bacterial SSU rRNA". It matches the Rfam family "Bacterial small subunit ribosomal RNA", at positions 355 to 901 of the family's 1533-position model. The record is from RNAcentral.